RNAcentral lists this long non-coding RNA (1242 nucleotides) under Numida meleagris (helmeted guineafowl). RNAcentral's name for it is "lncRNA (ENSNMEG00000000056.1)". The record is from RNAcentral. Lineage: Eukaryota; Metazoa; Chordata; Aves; Galliformes; Numididae.
AUGCACUGCUCUAUUUUGCAGCCACGCUGCAUUGCACCGACCUGUCCUGCAAUGCACAGCCCUGUUUUGCAGCCACGCUGCAAUGCACAAAACCAUUCUGCAACGCACAGCCCUACUUUGCAGCCACGCUGCGAUGCAUGGACACGUCCUGCAAUGCACAAAUCUAUCCUGCAACGAACAGAUCAACCCUGCAAUGCACGGACCCAUCCUACAACUCCACUGCAGUGCACAGACCCAUCCUGCAAUGCACAACCCUACUUUGCAGCUGCACUACAGUGCACCCACCCAUCCUGUAAUGCAUGGACUGAUCCUGCAAUACAUGGACCCGUCCUGCAAACACCCUGCAAUGCACAGACCUGUCGUGUAAUGCAUGGACCCACCCUGCAACUACCCUGCAAUGCACAGACCUGUCGUGCAAUGCACAGACCCAUCUUGCAAUGCACGGACCCAACCUCCAAUGCACGGACCCAUCCUGCAACCACGCUGCAAUGCAUGGACCCGUCAUGCAAUGCACAGACCCAUCUUGCAAUGCAUGGACCCAUCCUGCAAUGCAUAGCUCCAUUCUGCAACCACCCUGCAAGGACCAACCCUGCAGCCAUCCUGCAAUGCACGGACCCACCCUGCAAUGCACAGACCCAUCCUGUAGUGCACGGACCCAUCCUGCAACCACCCUGCAUUGCACGGACCAAACCUGCAAUGCAUGGACCCAACCUGCAAUGCACAGACCCAUCCUGCAAUGCACGGACCCACCCUGCAAUGCACAGACCCAUCUUGCAACACAUGGACCCAUCCUGCAACCACCCUGCAAUGCAUGGACCCAACCUGCAAUGCACAGACCUAUCCUGCAAUGCACGGACCCACCCUGCAAUGCACGGACCCAUCCUACAAUGCACAGACCCAUCUUGCAACACAUGGACCCAUCCUGCAACCACCCUGCAAUACACAGACCAAACCUGCAAUGCAUGGACCCAACCUGCAACCACCGUGCAAUGUACGGAGCCAUCUUGCAAUACAUGGACCCAACCUCCAACCACCCUGCAAUGCACAGACCAAACCUGCAAUGCAUGGACCCAUCCUGCAACCAUCCUGCAAUGCACGGACCUUUCGUGCAAUGCAUGGACCCAUCUUGCAACACAUGGACCCAUCCUGCAACCACCCUGCAAUGCACGGACCCAUCUUGCAAUGCAUGGACCUACCCCGCCAUGCAUGGACCCAUCCUGCAACCAUCCUGCAAUGCACUGA